Molecule: long non-coding RNA, 416 nt
Organism: Passer domesticus (house sparrow)
Lineage: Eukaryota; Metazoa; Chordata; Aves; Passeriformes; Passeridae
Exons: 3
Source: RefSeq, a predicted model, not a curated record
CCUCUCCACCUCCCUCAUCAUCAUAGGUCACAACAUUUUCCCGAACAUCUUCUUCUGAAAUGAUCAAAGGCUCCUUCUUGCUACGUCUUAGGGUGAUGAAAAGGACCACAAUUGCUAAAGAGAAAACUGCAGAUAUUAGAGCACAAACCCGGAUGGUGAGGGUACUGCUGCUGCUGAGAGGGGGCACGCCACCAUCAGAAAUCAGAACUGGCAGACAACUACAUCAUAAUCUCUGGCAAGCUCGGGAGGAUUGUCAUUGACAUCCAGGAUUCUAACACCAACUGGAACGUGGCUCACUAGCCCAGGAUUGUCUGCAAAACACACAGGAUGAUAUUAAACCUUUUAAAGUACUCAAAAUUGCAUGUCAAUCUCAAUUAAAAGUGUUUUAUUAACACAAUAACUAGAUGAAAACUGGA